RNAcentral lists this transfer RNA (73 nucleotides) under Ailuropoda melanoleuca (giant panda). It matches the Rfam family "tRNA". Rfam says of the family: Transfer RNA (tRNA) molecules are approximately 80 nucleotides in length. Their secondary structure includes four short double-helical elements and three loops (D, anti-codon, and T loops). Lineage: Eukaryota; Metazoa; Chordata; Mammalia; Carnivora; Ursidae. The record is from Rfam by way of RNAcentral.
ACCUGGCUGGCUCAGUAAGUAGAGCAUACGACCCUUGAUCUUGAGGUCAUGAGUUCAAGCCUCAUGCUGGGCA